Molecule: ribosomal RNA, 253 nt
Filed under: uncultured bacterium
Lineage: Bacteria
Description: partial 16S ribosomal RNA
Rfam family: Bacterial small subunit ribosomal RNA
Source: RNAcentral
UACGGAGGGUGCAAGCGUUGUUCGGAAUUACUGGGCGUAAAGCGCGUGUAGGCGGUUCGGUAAGUGGGUUGUGAAAGCCCCGAGCUCAACUCGGGAAUUGCGUCCGAAACUGCCGGACUGGAGACCCGGAGAGGAAGGCAGAAUUUCCAAUGUAGGGGUGAAAUCCGUAGAUAUUGGGAGGAAUACCGGCUGCGAAGGCGGCCUUCUGGACGGUGACUGACGCUGAGACGCGAAAGCGUGGGGAGCAAACAGG